UCGUAGCGGCUUAUAGUCAGUGUGAAAGUUGCGGCUCAACCGUAAAAUUGCCAUUGAUACUGUAGGUCUGAAUCAUUGUGAAGUGGUUAGAAUGUGUAGUGUAGCGGUGAAAUGCAUAGAUAUUACACAGAAUACCGAUUGCGAAGGCAGAUCACUAACAAUUGAUUGACGCUCAGGGACGAAAGCGUGGGUAGCGAACAGGAUUAGAUACCCUGGUAGUCCACGCCGUAAACGAUGGUUACUAGCUGUUUGGACUUCGGUCUGAGUGGCUAAGCGAAAGUGAUAAGUAACCCACCUGGGGAGUACGUUCGCAAGAAUGAAACUCAAAGGAAUUGACGGGGGCCCGCACAAGCGGUGGAGCAUGUGGUUUAAUUCGAUGAUACGCGAGGAACCUUACCAGGGCUUAAAUGUAGUCUGACAGCUUUAGAGAUAGAGUUUUCUUCGGACAGAUUACAAGGUGCUGCAUGGUUGUCGUCAGCUCGUGCCGUGAGGUGUCAGGUUAAGUCCUAUAACGAGCGCAACCCCUGUUGUUAGUUGCCAGCGAGUAAUGUCGGGAACUCUAGCAAGACUGCCGGUGCAAACCGCGAGGAAGGUGGGGAUGACGUCAAAUCAUCACGGCCCUUACGUCCUGGGCCACACACGUGCUACAAUGGCCGGUACAGAGAGCAGCCACUUAGUGAUAAGGAGCGAAUCUAUAAAGCCGGUCACAGUUCGGAUCGGAGUCUGCAACUCGACUYCGUGAAGCUGGAAUCGCUAGUAAUCGCAUAUCAGCCAUGAUGCGGUGAAUACGUUCCCGGGCCUUGUACACACCGCCCGUCAAGCCAUGGAAGCUGGGGGUACCUGAAGUCCGUCACCGCAAGGAGCGGCCU
This 869-nucleotide ribosomal RNA is filed under the name bacterium. RNAcentral's name for it is "bacterial SSU rRNA". It matches the Rfam family "Bacterial small subunit ribosomal RNA", at positions 570 to 1458 of the family's 1533-position model. The record is from RNAcentral.